GUGUGUUCCAGGUAAAUCCGGUUCACUUUAACACUGAGGCGUGACGACGAGGCACUACGGUGCUGAAGCAACAAAUGCCCUGCUUCCAGGAAAAGCCUCUAAGCAUCAGGUAACAUCAAAUCGUACCCCAAACCGACACAGGUGGUCAGGUAGAGAAUACCAAGGCGCUUGAGAGAACUCGGGUGAAGGAACUAGGCAAAAUGGUGCCGUAACUUCGGGAGAAGGCACGCUGACACGUAGGUGAAGUGAUUUACUCAUGGAGCUGAAGUCAGUCGAAGAUACCAGCUGGCUGCAACUGUUUAUUAAAAACACAGCACUGUGCAAACACGAAAGUGGACGUAUACGGUGUGACGCCUGCCCGGUGCCGGAAGGUUAAUUGAUGGGGUCAGCGCAAGCGAAGCUCCUGAUCGAAGCCCCGGUAAACGGCGGCCGUAACUAUAACGGUCCUAAGGUAGCGAAAUUCCUUGUCGGGUAAGUUCCGACCUGCACGAAUGGCGUAAUGAUGGCCAGGCUGUCUCCACCCGAGACUCAGUGAAAUUGAACUCGCUGUGAAGAUGCAGUGUACCCGCGGCAAGACGGAAAGACCCCGUGAACCUUUACUAUAGCUUGACACUGAACAUUGAGCCUUGAUGUGUAGGAUAGGUGGGAGGCUUUGAAGCGUGGACGCCAGUCUGCGUGGAGCCGACCUUGAAAUACCACCCUUUAAUGUUUGAUGUUCUAACGUGGACCCGUUACCCGGGUUGCGGACAGUGUCUGGUGGGUAGUUUGACUGGGGCGGUCUCCUCCUAAAGAGUAACGGAGGAGCACGAAGGUUGGCUAAUCCUGGUCGGACAUCAGGAGGUUAGUGCAAUGGCAUAAGCCAGCUUGACUGCGAGCGUGACGGCGCGAGCAGGUGCGAAAGCAGGUCAUAGUGAUCCGGUGGUUCUGAAUGGAAGGGCCAUCGCUCAACGGAUAAAAGGUACUCCGGGGAUAACAGGCUGAUACCGCCCAAGAGUUCAUAUCGACGGCGGUGUUUGGCACCUCGAUGUCGGCUCAUCACAUCCUGGGGCUGAAGUAGGUCCCAAGGGUAUGGCUGUUCGCCAUUUAAAGUGGUACGCGAGCUGGGUUUAGAACGUCGUGAGACAGUUCGGUCCCUAUCUGCCGUGGGCGCUGGAGAACUGAGGGGGGCUGCUCCUAGUACGAGAGGACCGGAGUGGACGCAUCACUGGUGUUCGGGUUGUCAUGCCAAUGGCACUGCCCGGUAGCUAAAUGCGGAAGAGAUAAGUGCUGAAAGCAUCUAAGCACGAAACUUGCCCCGA
Molecule: ribosomal RNA, 1298 nt
Filed under: Salmonella enterica
Lineage: Bacteria; Pseudomonadati; Pseudomonadota; Gammaproteobacteria; Enterobacterales; Enterobacteriaceae
Also listed under: 3 other names
Description: partial 23S ribosomal RNA
Rfam family: Bacterial large subunit ribosomal RNA
Source: RNAcentral